Molecule: transfer RNA, 66 nt
Filed under: unidentified
Description: Cupuladria biporosa tRNA-Phe
Source: RNAcentral
GUUGUCAGUAGCCUAUAACAAAGGUUUAACUUUGAAAAAGUUAAGAAGAUGUGUCAUCCGACAACA